CGGCGAGCGGCGGACGGGUGAGGAACACGUAGGAACUUACCUUUCAGAGGGGGACAACCAGGGGAAACUUUGGCUAAUACCGCGUAAUCUCGAGAGAGUAAAGCUGGCUUCGGCUGGCACUGAAAGAGAGGCCUGCGUCCGAUUAGUUUGUUGGUGAGGCAACGGCUCACCAAGACUGUGAUCGGUAACUGGUCUGAGAGGACGACCAGUCACACUGGGACUGAGACACGGCCCAG
Molecule: ribosomal RNA, 236 nt
Filed under: uncultured bacterium
Lineage: Bacteria
Description: partial 16S ribosomal RNA
Rfam family: Bacterial small subunit ribosomal RNA
Source: RNAcentral